Molecule: ribosomal RNA, 2309 nt
Filed under: Chlamydia trachomatis
Lineage: Bacteria; Pseudomonadati; Chlamydiota; Chlamydiia; Chlamydiales; Chlamydiaceae
Description: bacterial LSU rRNA
Rfam family: Bacterial large subunit ribosomal RNA
Source: RNAcentral
UUAAACAAGAUAAGAGUUUUUGGUGGAUGCCUUGGGUCUGGAAGUCGAUGAAGGACGUGAUUACCUGCGAUAAGCCUCGGUUAGCUGGAAAUGAGCUGUGAUCCGGGGAUUUCCGAAUGGGGAAACCUAAUUGAGCUAAUCCUCAAUUAUCAUAUCGAUGAAUACAUAGUCGAAUGAAGAGACACGCUGUGAAUUGAAACAUCUCAGUAGCAGCAGGAAGAGAAAAUAAAGAAUGAUUCCCUCAGUAGUGGCGAGCGAACGGGGAAGAGCCCAAACCAACAUUCGUUGUUGGGGUUAUAGGACUACAUUUUAGAGUUACAAAAUUUACAUAUAGCAGAAUAAGUUGGAAUGCUUAAACAUAGAGGGUGAAAUUCCCGUAAGCGAAAUGUGUAGAUCUCUUUGUAGUAUCCUGAGUAGGGCGGGGCACGUGAAACCCUGUCUGAAUUUGCCGGGACCACCCGGUAAGGCUAAAUACUAACCAGACACCGAUAGUGAACUAGUACCGUGAGGGAAAGGUGAAAAGAACCCCGGGAGGGGAGUGAAAUAGAUUCUGAAACCAAUUACUUACAGUUAGUCAGAGCCCGUUAAUGGGUGAUGGCGUACAUCUUGCAGAAUGGACCGGCGAGUUAUGUCAACAUGCGAGGUUAAGUGGAUUAAAGCGAAGCCGUAGAGAAAUCGAGUCUUAAUAGGGCGCUUAGUAUGUUGAUAUAGACCCGAAACCAGGUGAUCUACCCAUGAGCAGGUUGAAACUUAGGUAACACUAAGUGGAGGACCGAACCGUAGUACGCUAAAAAGUGCCCGGAUGACUUGUGGGUAGGGGUGAAAUUCCAAUCGAACUUGGAGAUAGCUGGUUCUCUCCGAAAUAGCUUUAGGGCUAGCGUGUAGUGUUAAGUGAUGGGGGUAGAGCACUGAAUAUGGAAUGGCGGCGCCUAGCUGUACUGACUAUAAUCAAACUCCGAAUACUAUCAUGAAUUGCUAUGCAGUCGGUACAUCGGUGAUAACGUCGAUGCACGCGAGGGGAACAACCCAGAUCGUCAGCUAAGGUCCCAAAAUUGUGUUAAGUGAGAAAGGUUGUGGAGUUUCUUAAACAGCUAGGAUGUUGGCUUAGAAGCAGCCAUCGUUUAAAGAGUGCGUAAUAGCUCACUAGUCGAGAGACUCUGUGCCGAUAAUUCAACGGGACUAAAACACAAUACCGAAGCUACGGGCAUGAAAAUGCGUUAGGAGAGCGUUGUAAGGGCAUUGAAGCCAGACUGUGAAGACUGGUGGAGCGCUUACAAGUGAGAAUGCCGGUAUGAGUAACGAUUCAGAGUGAGAAUCUCUGACGCCUAUUGGGGAAGGUUUCCUGGGCAAGGUUCGUCCACCCAGGGUUAGUCGGGUCCUAAGACGAGGCCGAAAGGCGUAGCCGAUGGACAACAGGUUAAUAUUCCUGUACUUUCUAUAAAUGUGAUGGAGUGACGGGGGAGGAUAGCACUACCACUUAUUGGAUUGUGGGGUAAAUAGUGACUGGGUUAUGUAGGCAAAUCCGCAUAACUUAACCGGGAGCUAUGAUGCAUAGUGAAAGGGCAACUAAGUAGCGAAUUGGAUGAUUCCAUACCUCUUAAAAAAGCUUCUAACAUAUAGUUUAUGGAAACCCGUACCGAGAACGGACACACGUCCCCAAGAUGAGUAUUCUAAGGCGAGCGAGAAAACCAAUGUCAAGGAACUCUGCAAAUUCAUCCCGUAAGUUCGCAAGAAGGGAUGCCCACCCUAAAAAGUGGGCCGCAGUGAAUAGUAAGGGGGAACUGUUUAUCAAAAACACAGCUCUAUGCUAAGUCGUAAGACGAUGUAUAUGGGGUGACUCCUGCCCAGUGCCCGAAGGUUAAGCAAAGGUGUUAGCUUUAGCGAAGCAUUGAUGUGAAGCCCGGGUGAACGGCGGCCGUAACUAUAACGGUCCUAAGGUAGCGAAAUUCCUUGUCGGCUAAAUACUGACCUGCACGAAAGGAGUAAUUAUCUCUUAACUGUCUCGACAUUGGAUUCGGUGAAAUUAUGGUUCCGGCGAAGACGCCGGAGACCCGCAUCUAGACGAAAAGACCCCGUGGAGCUUUACUAUAACUUCAUAUUGGAGUUUGAUUUAACUUGUGUAGGAUAGGUGGGAGACUAUGAUGCUUGAACGCUAGUUCAAGUGGAGUCGACGUUGAAAUACCACCCUUGUUACGUUGAACUUCUAACUUGUUACCAUGAUCUGGUAAGAGGACAGUGUGUGGUGGGUAGUUUGACUGGGGCGGUCGCCUCCUAAAGGGUAACGGAGGCGUUCAAAGUUACACUCAAUU